UCUCCGUAGGUGAACCUGCGGAGGGAUCAUUACAGAGUUCGUGCCCUCGCGGGUAGAUCUCCCACCCUGUGUUAUUGCUACCUUUGUUGCUUUGGCGGGCCGCCCUCGGCUACCGGCCCCGGCUGGUACGCGCCCGCCAGAGGACCCCAAACCCUGAACGUCAGUGUCGUCUGAGCUCUAUACAAUAGUUUAAACUUUCAACAACGGAUCUCUUGGUUCUG
Molecule: unclassified non-coding RNA, 221 nt
Filed under: plant metagenome
Description: partial contains small subunit ribosomal RNA, internal transcribed spacer 1, and 5.8S ribosomal RNA
Source: RNAcentral